Molecule: ribosomal RNA, 251 nt
Filed under: uncultured bacterium
Lineage: Bacteria
Description: partial 16S ribosomal RNA
Rfam family: Bacterial small subunit ribosomal RNA
Source: RNAcentral
UACGUAGGGUGCAAGCGUUGUCCGGAAUUAUUGGGCGUAAAGAGCGUGUAGGCGGCCCGAUUAGUCCGCUGUGAAAGUCCAGGGCUCAACCCUGGAAUGCCGGUGGAUACUGUCGGGCUAGAGUCCGGAAGGGGCGAGUGGAAUUCCUGGUGUAGCGGUGAAAUGCGCAGAUAUCAGGAGGAACACCAUGCGAAGGCAGCUCUCUGGGACGGUACUGACGCUGAGACGCGAAAGCGUGGGGAGCGAACAGG